UACGUAGGGUGCAAGCGUUGUCCGGAAUUAUUGGGCGUAAAGAGCUCGUAGGCGGUCUGUCGCGUCGGCUGUGAAAACUCGGGGCUCAACCCCGAGCCUGCAGUCGAUACGGGCAGACUAGAGUGCGGUAGGGGAGACUGGAAUUCCUGGUGUAGCGGUGAAAUGCGCAGAUAUCAGGAGGAACACCGGUGGCGAAGGCGGUUCUCUGGGCAUGUCCUGACGCUGAGGAGCGAAAGUGUGGGGAGCGAACAGG
This 253-nucleotide ribosomal RNA is filed under the name uncultured bacterium. RNAcentral's name for it is "partial 16S ribosomal RNA". It matches the Rfam family "Bacterial small subunit ribosomal RNA", at positions 524 to 776 of the family's 1533-position model. The record is from RNAcentral.